CUGGCUCAGGAUGAACGCUAGCGGCAGGCUUAACACAUGCAAGUCGAGGGGCAGCGCGAGUAGCAAUACUUGGCGGCGACCGGCGCAAGGGUGCGUAACGCGUGAGCAACAUGCCCGUAUCAGGGGGAUAAUCCAGGGAAACUUGGUCUAAUACCCCAUAGUAAUUUUGUAAGGCAUCUUAUAAGAUUUAAAGCUUUGGUGGAUACGGAUUGGCUCGCGUGACAUUAGCUGGAUGGUAAGGUAACGGCUUACCAUGGCUAUGAUGUCUAGGGGUUCUGAGAGGAAGGUCCCCCACACUGGAACUGAGACACGGUCCAGACUCCUACGGGAGGCAGCAGUGAGGAAUAUUGGACAAUGGAUGGAAAUCUGAUCCAGCCAUGCCGCGUGAAAAGGAAGAAGGUCCUAUGGAUUGUAAACUUCUUUUGUAUGGGAGCAAUAAGGCCUACGAGUAGGUUGAUGAGAGUACCAUACGAAUAAGCACCGGCUAACUCCGUGCCAGCCGCAGC
Molecule: ribosomal RNA, 506 nt
Filed under: uncultured bacterium
Lineage: Bacteria
Description: bacterial SSU rRNA
Rfam family: Bacterial small subunit ribosomal RNA
Source: RNAcentral